CAGGCCUAACACAUGCAAGUCGAACGAACCGCGACUAGGUGCUUGCACUUGGUCAAGGUGAGUGGCGAACGGGUGAGUAACACGUGGGUAACCUACCUCAUAGUGGGGGAUAACAGUCGGAAACGACUGCUAAUACCGCAUAGGACAUAGGAUCACAUGAUCCAGUGAGGAAAGGUGGCGCAAGCUAUCGCUAAGAGAUGGACCCGCGGUGCAUUAGCUAGUUGGUAGGGUAAAGGCCUACCAAGGCGAUGAUGCAUAGCCGACCUGAGAGGGUGAUCGGCCACAUUGGGACUGAGACACGGCCCAAACUCCUACGGGCGGCAGCAGUAGGGAAUCUUCCGCAAUGGACGCAAGUCUGACGGAGCAACGCCGCGUGAGUGAGGAAGGUCUUCGGAUCGUAAAGCUCUGUUGUUAGAGAAGAACAGCGCAUAGAGUAACUGUUAUGCGUGUGACGGUAUCUAACCAGAAAGCCACGGCUAACUACGUGCCAGCAGCCGCGGUAAUACGUAGGUGGCGAGCGUUGUCCGGAUUUAUUGGGCGUAAAGGGAGUGUAGGCGGUCUUUUAAGUCUGAUGUGAAAGCCCACGGCUCAACCGUGGAGGGUCAUUGGAAACUGGGAGACUUGAGUGCAGAAGAGGAGAGCGGAAUUCCAUGUGUAGCGGUGAAAUGCGUAGAUAUAUGGAGGAACACCAGUGGCGAAGGCGGCUCUCUGGUCUGUAACUGACGCUGAGGCUCGAAAGCGUGGGGAGCA
This 750-nucleotide ribosomal RNA is filed under the name uncultured bacterium. Its description in RNAcentral is "bacterial SSU rRNA". It matches the Rfam family "Bacterial small subunit ribosomal RNA", at positions 43 to 770 of the family's 1533-position model. The record is from RNAcentral.